RNAcentral lists this transfer RNA (74 nucleotides) under Marmota monax (woodchuck). RNAcentral describes it as "tRNA.Ala". The record is from RNAcentral. Lineage: Eukaryota; Metazoa; Chordata; Mammalia; Rodentia; Sciuridae.
UGAGGAUAUAGCUCAGUUGGUAGAGUGCUUGCCUUGCAUGAGCAAGGCCCAGGGUUCAAUCCCCAGCACCACAA